This 406-nucleotide ribosomal RNA is filed under the name uncultured bacterium. RNAcentral describes it as "partial 16S ribosomal RNA". It matches the Rfam family "Bacterial small subunit ribosomal RNA", at positions 28 to 526 of the family's 1533-position model. The record is from RNAcentral.
AUUGAACGCUGGCGGCAGGCCUAACACAUGCAAGUCGAACGAGUGGCGGACGGGUGAGUAAUGUCUGGGAAGCUGCCUGAUGGAGGGGGAUAACUACUGGCAACGGUAGCUAAUACCGCAUACCAUCGGAUGUGCCCAGAUGGGAUUAGCUUGUUGGUGGGGGAACGGCUCACCAAGGCGACGAUCCCUGGCUGGUAUGAGAGGCUGACCAGCGGCCCUGGAACGGGGACACGGUCCAGAGUCCUACGGGAGGCAGCAGUGGGGAACAUUGGGCAAUGGGGGCGAGCCUGGUGCAGCCAUGCCGCGUGUAUGACGGAGGCCUUCGGGUUGUAAAGUACUUUCAGCGGGGAGGCGUUACCCGGAGAAGAAGCACCGGCUAACUCCGUGCCAGCAGCCGCGGUAAUUC